Molecule: long non-coding RNA, 748 nt
Filed under: Ananas comosus (pineapple)
Lineage: Eukaryota; Viridiplantae; Streptophyta; Magnoliopsida; Poales; Bromeliaceae
Description: long non-coding RNA (ACOM_LNC019032)
Source: RNAcentral
AAUAAUAAUUAUUAUUUAUUAAUAAUUAAUUAAUAAUUCUUAUUCUUAAUAAUUAGAUAAUGGAUAUUAUUAUUAAUUUAUUAUUUAUAAUUAAUUAAUAAUAAUUAUUAUUAUUUAUUAAUAAAUAUUAAUAUUAAUUAUUAUUAAUAAUUAGAUAAUCAAUAUUAUUAUUAAUUUAUUAUUUAUAAUUAAUUAAUAAGAAUAAUUAAUAAUUAUUAUUAUUUAUUAAUAAUUAAUAAUAAUUAUUAUUAUUAUUAAUUAGAUCAUCCAUAUUAUUAAUUUAUUAUUUAUAAUUAAUUAAUAAUAAUAAUAAUUAUUUAUAAUUAAUUAUUAAUAAUUAAUUUCUUAUUUAUUUGUAAGUAAUAUUUUUAUUACUAUUAAUUACAUAAUAUAAUUUUAAUUUCAAAUUAUAAUUCUUAUUCCUCUUGUUCCAAUCUAACCAUCCAAACAUUAUUUAUCUUAUUCCUAGGAACAACUCAAUUUUCAUCCAAACGCAAAAUUGGUCUAGUUCCUGCUUAUACCUGAACUUAUACCUAUCCCUAGAACUAGCAGUUCUUACUUAUAUCCGAACCAAACGCAGCCUAAUAAGAGACUACAAAUCCAAUUCACCCAGGGUCUAUAGUAGAUCCAUGGUCCACAGAAGGAGCACCCAACAAACCCAAUAUCUAUAUUUCUUUCACUUAAUCCAUGAUACACCGGGUGCACCAAAUAUUCAAAACGGAUAUGUGUCCAUAAAUAAAGAACCCUC